Molecule: ribosomal RNA, 427 nt
Filed under: uncultured prokaryote
Description: bacterial SSU rRNA
Rfam family: Bacterial small subunit ribosomal RNA
Source: RNAcentral
CUAAGAAUAUUCCGCAAUGGACGAAAGUCUGACGGAGCGACGCCGCGUGGAUGAAGAAGGCCCAAAGGUUGUAAAGUUCUUUUGCUAGGGGAGAAUAAGUGAGGGAGGGAAUGCCCUCAUGAUGACAAGGACUAGCGAAUAAGCCCCGGCCAACUACGUGCCAGCAGCCGCGGUAACACGUCGGGGGCGAGCGUUGUUCGGAAUUACUGGGCGUAAAGGGCAUGUAGGCGGCUUGGUAAGCCUGGCGUGAAAGACUGCAGCUUAACUGUAGGGAUGCGUUCGGAACUGCUUAGCUGGAGUUACGGAGAGGGAGCUGGAAUUCCUGGUGUAGGGGUGAAAUCUGUAGAUAUCAGGAAGAACACCGAUGGCGAAGGCAAGCUUCUGGUCGAUAACUGACGCUGAGGUGCGAAAGUGUGGGGAUCAAACA